GUGGAAAAAAACAAGGAAUUGUGCGCAAAAAUUAGCAGCAUUUAAAAUAUAUAAACCUUUAAUAAUCAAUAGGAGGGUUCUGUUAUUGAAUCCUCCUAUUAUCUUCCAAAAUUAACAUUUAGUAUGAGAAGAAAAAGAAAAACUAUUCACUAGAGUGCUACUAUGAAUUGAAAGUGCUUCAAAUUGUGGUAUGGUAAUCACAGCAAUCUAUCAUAGAAAAAC
Pelobates cultripes (western spadefoot toad) is the source of this 222-nucleotide non-coding RNA. The record is from the annotation of a GenBank genome assembly. Lineage: Eukaryota; Metazoa; Chordata; Amphibia; Anura; Pelobatidae.